This 2875-nucleotide long non-coding RNA is filed under the name Homo sapiens (human). RNAcentral describes it as "non-protein coding lnc-RTCA-1:1". Lineage: Eukaryota; Metazoa; Chordata; Mammalia; Primates; Hominidae. The record is from RNAcentral.
GUGACGUUUACCAAAAUGCAAGAUGCUAAUUAAUGAAGGUCUUAAAUUACUUGUUUGGCUCCUUGGUGUGCCUGACUGGUUUCAACUUCUUCCUGGUUUAGUCUUGGGAGAGUGUAUGUGUCGAGGAAUUUAUCCAUUUCUUCUAGAUUCCUUUUGGGUUUUCUAUGUAGACAGUCUCAUCAUUAAGAUGAUAUCAAAAUUAAGGUGUUGUUUUUGCCUGUCCUAUCUUAUGUCUUUUUUCUUUCUUGUAAAAUCUGUCUAGGACUUCUACCAUCUGUUUAAAAAAAGCCAUAAUAGUGGGCAUUCUUAUCUUGUUAAUAAUAUUAAAAGGAAGGAGCCUAAUAUUUUACUACUAAACAUGAUGUUUGCUUGACUCCCAGUAGGGCCGAAAAAGAAAAUGAAGUUUGCUGUUGAAUUUUUUAGAUGCCAUUUGUUAUGGUUUGGCUCUGUGUCCCCACCCAAAUCUCAUGUCAAGUUGUAAUCCCCAAGUGUCAGGGGAGGGACCUGGUAGGAGGUGAUUGGAUCAUGGAGAAAUCCCUUGCUGUUCUUGUGAUAGUGUGUUCUCACAAGAUCUGGUUGUUGAAAAGUGUGUGGCACUUAAAAGUGUGUACCUCGCCCCCAUCUCCUCUCUCUUUCUCUCCUGCCACCAUGUAAGUACAUGCCUUGCUUCCCCUUUGCCUUCUGCUAUGAUUAUAAGUUUUCUGAGGCCUCCCCAGCCAUGCAGAACUGUGAGUGAAUGAAAUCUCUUUUCUUUAUAAAUUACCCAGUUUCAGGUAGUUCUUUAUAGCCAUGUGAAAUGGACUAAUAUACCAUUAAUAACACUAAGAGAGUUUUAUCCCUAGCUUUGCUUGAUUUUGUUUCAUCAUAAAUGGAUCUUUUUUUUUUUCCAAUCCUUUUCCUGCAUCUAUUGGUGUGAUCUUAGGUUUUUGAUACAUCAGCAUAUUUUUCCAAUUUUAAAUUGAUCUUCAAUCCCAACUUGGUUAUAAUGUGUUGUAUUUUACAAACAUUGUUGAAUUUGAUUGUAAAUAUUUUGACUGAGACUGGUGCAUCUAAAUUAUAAAUAAAGUUGACCUAUAAUUUUUCUUCCCCAAGUUGUCUUUGGUUUUGGCAUCAAGAUCAUACUAGCCUUAUAAAAUGUACUGGGGAGGUCUAUUUCAUGAGUUCUGGAGGGAAACAUGUAUAAUAACUGAAGGUUUUAUAUAUAUAUAUAUCUGUGUAUAUAUAUCUGUAUAUAUAUCUUAUGUAUAUAUAUAUCUGUAUAUAUAUGUACAUGGCCAAUUAUGUAUGUAUAUAAUUGCCCUUAGAUCAAGUUUAUUAGUUGUUUUAUUAGUUGUCUUGUCUUUCCUAAAUUUUCAUUUGCUUGAUCUAUAAAUAAGUGAGCUAAAACUUCACAAUAUGGUAGUGGAUUCACCAGUUUCUUCAAUUUCUGACUUACAUACUUUGAAGCUAUUUAUUACACACAAAGGUUUGAAUAACUAUUUUCCUGGGGAACACAAUUUUUUAUUAUUUUGUAGUGACUCUUUUUGGUCAAUGAUAAUGCUUUUUGUAUUAAAGUCUAAUUUAAUACAAAAUACAGGUAUACCACGAAUAUAGGUAUACCACCUUUCUUUUUGUUGGCAUUUAUACGGCAUCUCUUUUCCAUCUUUUUAUUUUCAACUCCUCACGAUCCUUAAUGUUUUUGGUGCAUCUCUUGUAAAUGGCACUUUUUUUUUUCAACCAAUCUCUGGCUUUUUUAUUUUUUAAACUUGUGGGUAUGUGUCAUCCAACAAUCUCUGGCUUUUCAUCAGAAAGUUUAUUUACUUUCAUUGUUACUAUUGAUAUAUAUGAAUUUAUUUCUAUUUUGUUACUUUAGUGCUUUCUUUUCAUCCUCUUUUUUUUUAAUGCUCAUUAUGAUAUUAGGUUUUUGUUCAUUUAAUCUGUGUUUUCCUGUUAGUCCAUUUUUUCCUUUGGCUGGAUUAGAAGUUAUACACUUUCAUGGUUAUCCUUGAAACUUUACCUUGCGUACUUAAAGACUUGAAUUAUGUCAACUCUAUUAAUUGAUAUCUUAACUACAAAGAGAGACCUUAGAAUUCUUUAACUUUGUCAUCCACCUCUCGUCUUACAUACUUUUGUUGUCUGGUGUUAUUUCAUGUAAUGUUUGCUCAGAUUCAACUAUGUGUUUACAAUUUCUUUGCCCAUCACUUCUAUCUCAGACUCUCCUUCUGAAGUAAUUUUUCUUUCUGAAGUACAUCUUUUAGAACUUCCUUUAAAAAGUGUAGGUAGAUGUUAAAUUCAGUUUCCAUGUACCUGGAAAUUAUUUUAUUUCUAUACUUUAAUUCUUGAAAGAUAAUUUUGCUGAGUGCCCAAUUCUAGGUUGAUGGUUAUUUUCUGCCAGCAUUCUGAAUGUACAAUUCUACUCUUUCUGACUUCCACUGUUUUAUUGAGGAAUCAAUUAUUGGUCUGUCAUUUGUCAUUAAAAUAACCAAGGAUUUAACCCAACUCUGCCACUUUAUUGUUCUGUCAUCUUGGCAGGUCACUUCCAAUUCCCUAGGCCUCAGUCCUUCAUUAACCAAAGAGAGAUAAGAGCACCAACCUCACAGCUUUGUUAUGAACAUUAAGAGAGAUCAUGUAUAUGAAAGCACUACACAAGUGCUUAUUAUUACCACAAUUAGCUCAUCUCUACAUUAUAUUACUGUCUUGUUCUUUUCCCCCUACCACUGGAAAUAGUUAGAAUGGGGCAAAUGGGUCAUAGCUAGGAAUUCAUAGCCAAAAUUAGAAAUAAAAAGGCGAGGCUUCUUCUGGGAAUGUUAAGUUUCUGUAAUAAGAAUCUAAGAUGUGUUGCGGGAAGUCAGGGACCCCGAACGGAGGGACCGGCUGGAGCCACGGCAGAGGAACA